CCUACGGGAGACAGCAGUCGAGAAUCAUUCACAAUGGGGGAAACCCUGAUGGUGCGACGCCGCGUGGGGGAAUGAAGGUCUUCGGAUUGUAAACCCCUGUUAUGUGGGAGCAAAUUAAAAAGAUAGUACCACAAGAGGAAGAGACGGCUAACUCUGUGCCAGCAGCCGCGGUAAUACAGAGGUCUCAAGCGUUGUUCGGAAUCACUGGGCGUAAGGCGUGCGUAGGCUGUUUCGUAAGUCGUGUGUGAAAGGCGCGGGCUCAACCCGCGGACGGCACAUGAUACUGCGAGACUAGAGUAAUGGAGGAGGAACCGGAAUUCUCGGUGUAGCAGUGAAAUGCGUAGAUAUCGAGAGGAACACUCGUGGCGAAGGCGGGUUCCUGGACAUUAACUGACGCUGAGGCACGAAGGCCAGGGGAGCGAAAGGGAUUAGAUACCCUGGUAGUC
This 446-nucleotide ribosomal RNA is filed under the name uncultured bacterium. Its description in RNAcentral is "partial 16S ribosomal RNA". It matches the Rfam family "Bacterial small subunit ribosomal RNA", at positions 338 to 795 of the family's 1533-position model. The record is from RNAcentral.